UACGGAGGGUGCAAGCGUUGCUCGGAAUCACUGGGCGUAAAGCGACCGCAGGCGGUCUGACAAGUCGGAUGUGAAAGCCCUGGGCUCAACCCAGGAACUGCAUUCGAAACUGGCAGACUUGAGUACGGGAGAGGGGGGUGGAAUUCCUGGUGUAGGGGUGAAAUUCGUUGAUAUCAGGAGGAACACCGGCGGCGAAGGCGGCCCCCUGGCCCGCAACUGACGCUCAUGGUCGAAAGCGUGGGGAGCAAACAGG
Molecule: ribosomal RNA, 253 nt
Filed under: uncultured bacterium
Lineage: Bacteria
Description: partial 16S ribosomal RNA
Rfam family: Bacterial small subunit ribosomal RNA
Source: RNAcentral